Non-coding RNA from Podarcis lilfordi (Lilford's wall lizard), 74 nucleotides. Lineage: Eukaryota; Metazoa; Chordata; Lepidosauria; Squamata; Lacertidae. The record is from the annotation of a GenBank genome assembly.
GGAGGACUGUAGCUCAGUGGUACAGCAUCUGCUUUGCAUGUAGAACGUCCCAGGUUUGGUUCCAGUCAUCUCCA